UGGCUCAGUGGAUAGAGCGUUGGCCUGGGGACUGAAAGGUCCUGGGUUCGAUUCCCAG
This 58-nucleotide transfer RNA is filed under the name Myotis lucifugus (little brown bat). It matches the Rfam family "tRNA", at positions 8 to 63 of the family's 71-position model. From Rfam's summary of the family: Transfer RNA (tRNA) molecules are approximately 80 nucleotides in length. Their secondary structure includes four short double-helical elements and three loops (D, anti-codon, and T loops). Further hydrogen bonds mediate the characteristic L-shaped molecular structure. tRNAs have two regions of fundamental functional importance: the anti-codon, which is responsible for specific mRNA codon recognition, and the 3' end, to which the tRNAs corresponding amino acid is attached (by aminoacyl-tRNA synthetases). tRNAs cope with the degeneracy of the genetic code in two manners: having more than one tRNA (with a specific anti-codon) for a particular amino acid; and 'wobble' base-pairing, i.e. permitting non-standard base-pairing at the 3rd anti-codon position. The record is from Rfam by way of RNAcentral. Lineage: Eukaryota; Metazoa; Chordata; Mammalia; Chiroptera; Vespertilionidae.